RNAcentral lists this ribosomal RNA (499 nucleotides) under uncultured bacterium. RNAcentral's name for it is "bacterial SSU rRNA". It matches the Rfam family "Bacterial small subunit ribosomal RNA", at positions 899 to 1397 of the family's 1533-position model. The record is from RNAcentral.
ACUCAAAGGAAUUGACGGGGGCCCGCACAAGCGGUGGAGCAUGUGGUUUAAUUCGAAGCAACGCGAAGAACCUUACCAAGGCUUGACAUGAGGGUGAUCGGUACAGAGAUGUAUCUUCUCCUCGGAGCACCCUACACAGGUGGUGCAUGGUUGUCGUCAGCUCGUGUCGUGAGAUGUUGGGUUAAGUCCCGCAACGAGCGCAACCCUUACGUUCAGUUGCCAGCGAAUAGAGUCGGGCACACUGGAGGGACUGCCGUGGAUAACACGGAGGAAGGUGGGGAUGAUGUCAAAUCAUCAUGCCCCUUAUGUCUUGGGCUACACACGUGCUACAAUGGUAUUCUACAGCGUGAAGCGAGACCGUGAGGUGGAGCGGAUCAAGAAAAGAAGCCCCAGUUCGGAUUGCAGGCUGCAACUCGCCUGCAUGAAGUUGGAAUCGCUAGUAAUCGCGAAUCAUCAUGUCGCGGUGAAUACGUUCCCGGGCCUUGUACACACCGCCCGU